This 406-nucleotide ribosomal RNA is filed under the name uncultured bacterium. Its description in RNAcentral is "partial 16S ribosomal RNA". It matches the Rfam family "Bacterial small subunit ribosomal RNA", at positions 30 to 526 of the family's 1533-position model. The record is from RNAcentral.
AUUGAACGCUGGCGGCAGGCCUAACACAUGCAAGUCGAACGAGUGGCGGACGGGUGAGUAAUGUCUGGGAAACUGCCUGAUGGAGGGGGAUAACUACUGGAAACGGUUGCUAAUACCGCAUAGCAGCGGAUGGGCCCAGUUGGGAUUAGCUAGGAGUGGGGGUAAAGGCUCACCAAGGUGCCGAUCCGUAGCUGGUCUGAGAGGAUGAACAGCCACACGUGAACUGAGACACGGUCCAGCCUCCUACGGGAGGCAGCAUUGGGGAAUAUUGCACAAUGGGCGCAAGCCUGAUGCAGCCAUGCCGCGUGUGUGAAGAAGGCCUUCGGGUUGUAAAGUACUUUCAGCGGGGAGGCGUUACCCGCAGAAGAAGCACCGGCUAACUCCGUGCCAGCAGCCGCGGUAAUUC